This 557-nucleotide ribosomal RNA is filed under the name uncultured bacterium. Its description in RNAcentral is "bacterial SSU rRNA". It matches the Rfam family "Bacterial small subunit ribosomal RNA", at positions 102 to 694 of the family's 1533-position model. The record is from RNAcentral.
ACGGGUGAGUAACGCGUGGGAACGUGCCUUCCGGUUCGGAAUAACCCUGGGAAACUAGGGCUAAUACCGGAUACGCCCUUAUGGGGAAAGGUUUACUGCCGGAAGAUCGGCCCGCGUCUGAUUAGCUAGUUGGUGGGGUAACGGCCUACCAAGGCGACGAUCAGUAGCUGGUCUGAGAGGAUGAUCAGCCACACUGGGACUGAGACACGGCCCAGACUCCUACGGGAGGCAGUAGUGGGGAAUAUUGGACAAUGGGCGCAAGCCUGAUCCAGCCAUGCCGCGUGAGUGAUGAAGGCCUUAGGGUUGUAAAGCUCUUUUAUCCGGGACGAUAAUGACGGUACCGGAGGAAUAAGCCCCGGCUAACUUCGUGCCAGCAGCCGCGGUAAUACGAAGGGGGCUAGCGUUGCUCGGAAUCACUGGGCGUAAAGGGCGCGUAGGCGGCGUUUUAAGUCGGGGGUGAAAGCCUGUGGCUCAACCACAGAAUGGCCUUCGAUACUGGGACGCUUGAGUAUGGUAGAGGUUGGUGGAACUGCGAGUGUAGAGGUGAAAUUCGUAGA